AACCCAUGGUGAGGACACCUUCUCAAUAAAUCCUUAUACCUCUCCCAUGCAUCAUAUAAGGUUUCUAAAUCCAUUUGCACAAAGGAAGAGAUAUUAUUCCUCAGUUU
This is a non-coding RNA of Gossypium hirsutum (cotton), 107 nucleotides long. The record is from Rfam. NCBI's taxonomy places the organism in Eukaryota, Viridiplantae, Streptophyta, Magnoliopsida, Malvales, Malvaceae.